RNAcentral lists this ribosomal RNA (497 nucleotides) under uncultured bacterium. Its description in RNAcentral is "partial 16S ribosomal RNA". It matches the Rfam family "Bacterial small subunit ribosomal RNA", at positions 28 to 507 of the family's 1533-position model. The record is from RNAcentral.
GAUGAACGCUGGCGGCGUGCCUAAUACAUGCAAGUCGAGCGAACGGACGAGAAGCUUGCUUCUCUGAUGUUAGCGGCGGACGGGUGAGUAACACGUGGAUAACCUACCUAUAAGACUGGGAUAACUUCGGGAAACCGUAGCUAAUUCCGGAUAAUAUUUUGAACCGCAUGGUUCAAAAGUGAAAGACGGUCUUGCUGUCACUUAUAGAUGGAUCCGCGCUGCAUUAGCUAGUUGGUAAGGUAACGGCUUACCAAGGCAACGAUGCAUAGCCGACCUGAGAGGGUGAUCGGCCACACUGGAACUGAGACACGGUCCAGACUCCUACGGGAGGCAGCAGUAGGGAAUCUUCCGCAAAGGGCGAAAGCCUGACGGAGCAACGCCGCGUGAGUGAUGAAGGUCUUCGGAUCGUAAAACUCUGUUAUUAGGGAAGAACAUAUGUGUAAGUAACUGUGCACAUCUUGACGGUACCUAAUCAGAAAGCCACGGCUAACUACGUG